This 301-nucleotide ribosomal RNA is filed under the name uncultured bacterium. Its description in RNAcentral is "partial 16S ribosomal RNA". It matches the Rfam family "Bacterial small subunit ribosomal RNA", at positions 509 to 807 of the family's 1533-position model. The record is from RNAcentral.
CAGCAGCCACGGUAAAACGUAGGGUCCGAGCGUUGUCCGGAAUUACUGGGCGUAAAGAGCUCGUAGGUGGUUUGUCGCGUUGUUCGUGAAAACUCACAGCUUAACUGUGGGCGUGCGGGCGAUACGGGCAGACUAGAGUACUGCAGGGGAGACUGGAAUUCCUGGUGUAGCGGUGGAAUGCGCAGAUAUCAGGAGGAACACCGGUGGCGAAGGCGGGUCUCUGGGCAGUAACUGACGCUGAGGAGCGAAAGCGUGGGGAGCGAACAGGAUUAGAUACCCCGGUAGUCCCUGUCUCUUAUAC